Molecule: ribosomal RNA, 300 nt
Filed under: Deltaproteobacteria bacterium
Lineage: Bacteria; Pseudomonadati; Myxococcota; Myxococcia
Description: partial 23S ribosomal RNA
Rfam family: Bacterial large subunit ribosomal RNA
Source: RNAcentral
UCGGUCCCUAUCUGCCGUGGGCGUAGGAUACUUGAGAGGAGCUGCUUCUAGUACGAGAGGACCGGAGUGGACAUACCUCUGGUAAUCCAGUUGUCCCGCCAGGGGCAUAGCUGGGUAGCCAUGUAUGGAAGGGAUAACCGCUGAAAGCAUCUAAGCGGGAAACCCUCCUCAAGAUUAGGUAUCCCUCUACCGCAAGGUAGACUUAAGGACCCUUGUAGACUACAAGGUUGAUAGGCCGGGGGUGGAAGCGCAGUAAUGCGUGGAGCUGACCGGUACUAAUUGUCCGUGCGGCUUAAUUAA